UUGACAGACAACGGCGUAAAGAGUGGUUAAGGGACUACCCAAACUAAAGUCGAACACCCCCAGAACUGUUAUACGUCCCCCGAGGGCAAGAAGCUCCACCACGAAAGUGACUUUACCCCCCCCCC
Molecule: ribosomal RNA, 125 nt
Filed under: Hypsypops rubicundus (Garibaldi damselfish)
Lineage: Eukaryota; Metazoa; Chordata; Actinopteri; Pomacentridae
Description: partial small subunit ribosomal RNA
Source: RNAcentral